This is a non-coding RNA of Punica granatum (pomegranate), 873 nucleotides long. NCBI's taxonomy places the organism in Eukaryota, Viridiplantae, Streptophyta, Magnoliopsida, Myrtales, Lythraceae. The record is from RefSeq and is a predicted model, not a curated record.
ACAAGAAACUUCGCAGAAGCUCAAAAGUUUUUGUAUCAUAUGGACAUGUUAGUAUGUCACACAAUCACAUCAACACCGAAACUUCGGAGAAGUUCAAAGGUUUUUGUUGAUACAAAAAAUUGGACUUCUAUUUUACGUACUGGGAUACACCUUUUUGAGAGACUUCCUGAUCUCAAAUUCCUAUUAGCACCCUCUCUGUCUCCUUACAUUUAUCUCCAACUCUCAUGAAUUCCCUUGAGAGCCCUGCCUCUCUCAACCGAAUGGAAGGGCCUUUUAUGAGAUAUGGACUUUUCUUCACCUGCCUGGGGAGUCAAAACAACCUUCCUCUAUAUAUGUAGCCAACUAGCCAUGAACGUCCUGAAGGAGAUCAUCGGUAGGAUUCUAGGGAAAGGUAAUCAUGGCGAGGGAAAUUGCCCUUCUGGUAGAUAAUUAUGGAAGCGGGUCCGGGUCAGGUGGAGUCCUUUUUGUGCUCUGCGCAGUUGUAUUCUCUCUCACUGUCAUUUCCAUGGUCGUAUUUGCUUGUGGAAGUGGUGGCGUAGGCGGUGGUGGUGGUGGAGGAUGUGGCGGCGGUGGCUGUGGAGGCGGCGGCGGCGGAGGAUGUUAAAUAUUGAAAUGCAUGAUGUCUUUUUCGUUAUGUUAUUUGUAUAAAGAUAUUCACAGAGCGGGCAUCUGUGUUCGUAAAGUACUAAUACCUGUUGGAUAUGCCCCUUGCUAUGUCUCAAAUAAAAGAGAGCUCUGUUAUUAGCGAGUUUAUGGACUCCUCGUACUCUUCCGGUUUGGACAAUAUUUGUGAUACAGAGAUAUUCGUACACCAGCAACUCCUGUUUGUGCAUCUUGACUAGUACACUCGGGUAAAAUCUUCGUUUCAGUUAA